RNAcentral lists this ribosomal RNA (410 nucleotides) under uncultured Flavobacteriia bacterium. Its description in RNAcentral is "bacterial SSU rRNA". It matches the Rfam family "Bacterial small subunit ribosomal RNA", at positions 370 to 779 of the family's 1533-position model. Lineage: Bacteria; Pseudomonadati; Bacteroidota; Flavobacteriia. The record is from RNAcentral.
AAUGGACGAAAGUCUGAACCAGCCAUGCCGCGUGCAGGAUGACUGCCUAUGGGCUGUAAACUGCUUUUAUAUAGGAAGAAAACUUUCUCGUGAGAAAGCUUGACGGUACUAUAAGAAUAAGGAUCGGCUAACUCCGUGCCAGCAGCCGCGGUAAUACGGAGGAUCCAAGCGUUAUCCGGAAUCAUUGGGUUUAAAGGGUCCGUAGGUGGACAAAUAAGUCAGAGGUGAAAUCCUGCAGCUCAACUGUAGAACUGCCUUUGAUACUGUUUGUCUUGGGUUAUUAUGAAGUGGUUAGAAUGUGUAGUGUAGCGGUGAAAUGCAUAGAUAUUACACAGAAUACCGAUUGCGAAGGCAGAUCACUAAUAAUCAACUGACACUGAUGGACGAAAGCGUGGGUAGCGAACAGGAUU